AAGUCGUAACAAGGUUUCCGUAGGUGAACCUGCGGAAGGAUCAUUAUUGUAUAAUCGAGGUGCUGAGGUUGUCGCUGACUUUUGAAAGGGUCGUGCACGCCUCGGUGCUCUCACAUAUAAUCCAUCUCACCCCUUUGUGCAUCACCGCGUUGGGGCCCCUUUUGGCUAGUUCUAAGGGGGGCUUUCACGUUUUUACACAUACACCAUUUUAAUGCAAUGCGUAGAAUGUCAUACUUUUUGCGAUCACACGCAAUUAAUACAACUUUCAACAACGGAUCUCUUGGCUCUC
Molecule: unclassified non-coding RNA, 289 nt
Filed under: Russula sp.
Lineage: Eukaryota; Fungi; Basidiomycota; Agaricomycetes; Russulales; Russulaceae
Description: partial internal transcribed spacer region
Rfam family: Eukaryotic small subunit ribosomal RNA (bases 1-46)
Source: RNAcentral